AACGAACGCUGGCGGCAUGCUUAACACAUGCAAGUCGAACGAGGGCUUCGGCCCUAGUGGCGAACGGGUGAGUAACGCGUGGGAACCUGCCUUGGAGUGGGGGAUAACCACUGGAAACGGUGGCUAAUACCGCAUAUGGCCUGAGGGUCAAAGGCUUCGGCCGCUUUGAGAGGGGCCCGCGUCCGAUUAGCUAGUUGGUGGGGUAACGGCCUACCAAGGCUUCGAUCGGUAGCUGGUCUGAGAGGAUGAUCAGCCACACUGGGACUGCGACACGGCCCAGACUCCUACGGGAGGCAGCAGUGGGGAAUAUUGGACAAUGGGCGAAAGCCUGAUCCAGCAAUGCCGCGUGCGUGAUGAAGGCCUUCGGGUUGUAAAGCGCUUUCGCCCACGACGAUGAUGACGGUAGUGGGAGAAGAAGCCCCGGCUAACUCCGUGCCAGCCGCCGCCGUAACAC
RNAcentral lists this ribosomal RNA (454 nucleotides) under uncultured bacterium. RNAcentral describes it as "bacterial SSU rRNA". It matches the Rfam family "Bacterial small subunit ribosomal RNA", at positions 28 to 526 of the family's 1533-position model. The record is from RNAcentral.